This 443-nucleotide ribosomal RNA is filed under the name uncultured bacterium. RNAcentral describes it as "partial 16S ribosomal RNA". It matches the Rfam family "Bacterial small subunit ribosomal RNA", at positions 355 to 811 of the family's 1533-position model. The record is from RNAcentral.
UGGGGAAUAUUGCACAAUGGGCGGAAGCCUGAUGCAGCAACGCCGCGUGAGUGAUGAAGGCCUUCGGGUGUAAAGCUCUGUCUUUUGGGACGAUAAUGACGGUACCAAAGGAGGAAGCCACGGCUAACUACGUGCCAGCAGCCGCGGUAAUACGUAGGUGGCAAGCGUUGUCCGGAUUUACUGGGCGUAAAGGAUGCGUAGGCGGAUUUUUAAGUGAGAUGUGAAAAUACCCCGGGCUUAACUUGGGUGCUGCAUUUCAAACUGGGAAUCUAGAGUGCGGGAGAGGAGAAUGGAAUUCCUAGUGUAGCGGUGAAAAUGCGUAGAGAUUAGGAAGAACACCAGCGGCGAAGGCGAUUCUCUGGACCGUAAACUGACGCUGAGGCAUGAAAAGCGUGGGUAGCAAACAGAUUAGAUACCCUGGUAGUCCACGCCGUAAAACGAUG